UACGUAGGGGGCGAGCGUUUGUCCCGGGUAUUUGAUUGGGCGUAAAGAGCUCGUGAGGCGGCUUAGUAAGUCGGGGUGUGAAACCUCCAGGCUCAACCUGGAGACGCCACCCGAUACUGCUGUGGCUAGAGUCCGGUAGGGGAGCGUGGAAUUCCUGGUGUAGCGGUGAAAUGCGUAGAUAUCGGGAGGAACACCUGUGGCGAAAGCGGCGCACUGGACCACAACUGACGCUGAGGCACGAAAGCGUGGGGAGCAAACAGG
Molecule: ribosomal RNA, 261 nt
Filed under: uncultured bacterium
Lineage: Bacteria
Description: partial 16S ribosomal RNA
Rfam family: Bacterial small subunit ribosomal RNA
Source: RNAcentral